UACGGAAGGCAGCAGUGGGGAAUAUUGCACAAUGGGCGAAAGCCUGAUGCAGCUAUGCCGCGUGUAUGAAGAAGGCCUUAGGGUUGUAAAGUACUUUCAUCGGGGAGGAAAAACAAAACUAAUAAUUUUAUUUCUUGACGUUACCCGAAAAAGAAGCACCGGCUAACUCCGUGCCAGCAGCCGCGGUAAUACGGAGGGUGCUAGCGUUAAUCAGAAUUACUGGGCGUAAAGAGCACGUAGGUGGUUUUUUUAAGUCAGAUGUGAAAUCCCUGGGCUUAACCUAGGAACUGCAUUUUGAAACUGAAAUACUAGAGUAUCGUAGAGGGAGGUAGAAUUCUAGGUGUAGCGGUGAAAUGUGUAGAUAUCUGGAGGAAUACCUGUGGCGAAAGCGGCCUCCUAAACGAAUACUGACACUGAGGUGCGAAAGCGUGGGGAGCAAACAGGGAUUAGAUACC
This 455-nucleotide ribosomal RNA is filed under the name uncultured bacterium. Its description in RNAcentral is "bacterial SSU rRNA". It matches the Rfam family "Bacterial small subunit ribosomal RNA", at positions 340 to 786 of the family's 1533-position model. The record is from RNAcentral.